RNAcentral lists this small RNA (772 nucleotides) under Pongo abelii (Sumatran orangutan). Its description in RNAcentral is "retained intron". Lineage: Eukaryota; Metazoa; Chordata; Mammalia; Primates; Hominidae. The record is from RNAcentral.
GGCAUUGCCAAAGCAUGGCAUCAGGCAUAUUUUGGGGAAGGGUCUGGCCCAGUUAUGUUGGAUGAAGUACGCUGCACUGGGAAUGAGCUUUCAAUUGAGCAAUGUCCAAAGAGCUCCUGGGGAGAGCAUAACUGUGGCCAUAAAGAAGAUGCUGGAGUGUCCUGUACCCCUUUAACAGAUGGGGUCAUCAGACUUGCAGGUGGGAAAGGCAGCCAUGAGGGUCGCUUGGAGGUAUAUUACAGAGGCCAAUGGGGAACUGUCUGUGAUGAUGGCUGGACUGAGCUGAAUACAUACGUGGUUUGUCAACAGUUGGGAUUUAAAUUUGGUAAACAAGCAUCUGCCAACCAUUUUGAAGAAAGCACAGGGCCCAUAUGGUUGGAUGACGUCAGCUGCUCAGGAAAGGAAACCAGAUUUCUUCAGUGUUCCAGGCGACAGUGGGGAAGGCAUGACUGCAGCCACCGCGAAGAUGUUAGCAUUGCCUGCUACCCUGGCGGCGAGGGACACAGGCUCUCUCUGGGUGAGGACUGGCUGCAGCUCUCAAGUUUCCAUCUUUCAGUAGCCAUUGCACCUCUAACCACUGGCCUUGAAUAUGAAGUGUUUCUCAUCUUUGCCUUUUUUUGGGGUCUAUUUCCCAUAACUGUCUAAUUUUCAGUAAUUUUUAUGCAGAGAAAAAUAAUCUUUUGAGUCUCUGCACCAACAUUAUGAAAUUUCUACCCUUAAAUUGUUUUUCUUUACUUAGAAAAUUAAGUUCCUCGCUAACAAUGUUUACAAU